Molecule: ribosomal RNA, 458 nt
Filed under: uncultured bacterium
Lineage: Bacteria
Description: partial 16S ribosomal RNA
Rfam family: Bacterial small subunit ribosomal RNA
Source: RNAcentral
CCUACGGGAGGCAGCAGUGAGGAAUAUUGGUCAAUGGGCGAGAGCCUGAACCAGCCAAGUCGCGUGAGGGAGUACUGCCCUAUGGGUUGUAAACCUCUUUUGUCGGGGAGCAAAAGCCGGACGUGUCCGGCUGUGAGAGUACCCGCAGAAAAAGCAUCGGCUAACUCCGUGCCAGCAGCCGCGGUAAUACGGAGGAUGCGAGCGUUAUCCGGAUUUAUUGGGGUUAAAGGGUGCGCAGGCGGAUUUUUAAGUCAGCGGUCAAAUCGUGGGGCUCAACCCCAUCCAGCCGUUGAAACUGGGGAUCUAGAGUGUUCGAGAGGUAUGCGGAAUGCGUGGUGUAGCGGUGAAAUGCAUAGAUAUCACGCAGAACCCCGAUUGCGAAGGCAGCAUACCGGUGCACAACUGACGCUCAGGCACGAAAGCGUGGGUAUCGAACAGGAUUAGAUACCCUUGUAGUC